Molecule: ribosomal RNA, 247 nt
Filed under: uncultured bacterium
Lineage: Bacteria
Description: partial 16S ribosomal RNA
Rfam family: Bacterial small subunit ribosomal RNA
Source: RNAcentral
AUACGUAGGGUCCAAGCGUUAAUCGGAAUUACUGGGCGUAAAGCGUGCGCAGGCGGUUGUGCAAGACCGAUGUGAAAUCCCCGAGCUUAACUUGGGAAUUGCAUUGGUGACUGCACGGCUAGAGUGUGUCAGAGGGGGGUAGAAUUCCACGUGUAGCAGUGAAAUGCGUAGAGAUGUGGAGGAAUACCGAUGGCGAAGGCAGCCCCCUGGGAUAACACUGACGCGCAUGCACGAAAGCGUGGGGAGC